Molecule: ribosomal RNA, 339 nt
Filed under: uncultured bacterium
Lineage: Bacteria
Description: bacterial SSU rRNA
Rfam family: Bacterial small subunit ribosomal RNA
Source: RNAcentral
GUGAGUAGUUCAGAGUUUGAUCCUGGCUCAGGAUGAACGCUGGCGGCGUGCAUAACACAUUCAAGUCGAACGGGACAAGGGACUUCGGUCCUGCGUUUAGUGGCGGACGGGUGAGUGACGCGUGAGCAACCUGCCCCUUUUGUGCGGGAUAACGUUUGGAAACGAACGCUAAUACCGCAUAAUGCAUGGGAAUCGCAUGUUUCCUAUGCCAAAGAUUUAUUGCAGAGGGAUGGGCUCGCGUCCGAUUAGAUAGUUGGUGAGGUAACGGCCCACCAAGUCGGCGAUCGGUAGCCGGACUGAGAGGUUGAACGGCCACAUUGGAACUGAGAAACGGUCCAG